GCUAGCGUAGCGACUCUAGCCUAUGGGCGUAUUCAAAUUCUUCCUCUACCCCUAAGCCCAUCUUCUGCAUUAUCCUGAAAACAGAUUGAACACAAGGUGAGAAUCCCCGACACUGACCCAUAUUUUGCGUUUUGUACCUUCUUGGUGUAAUUUUUUUCCUCCUUCUGUGCAGCUUUCUGUUCAAGCUGGAAAAUCUCAAUAACAUCUAACUAACAACUUUUGUCAAUGUCAAUGUUUUAUCUACUUUGCAGAUUUCACAGUGUUCAACAAUAGAAUGGUAAAUGGCGUGUACUUUAUAGUACAUUUCUACUUUCUUUGAAUCCCUAAAGCGCUUUAAGGACCCAGUCCUAUUCACUCACACAUACUGAUGGUGGCCUUAAACUGGUGCCAACCCAUAACCACCAGGAGUAAUUUGAUGUCCAGUGUGUGACAGACAGGGCUGUGGGUGGUAGUUUGUCCCUCAUGGUGUUCCAUAGAUGUACAUUCAUGGCCAGCACCUGUCUGUUGAGCUGUGAUUGGCUCACAAGGCUGAUAAAUAGCAGCAGUGGGAGUUCCAUCUAGGUGCUGGUUUCCUGGUUUGGCCUUGGUGGUGGCAUGAGUUCUGACCCUGGGGCAUGAGAGUAUCUUGGUGUCUGGACCUGGCUGAAGGUGGCUGCCUCCUCCUUUUAUCCUUAUGGUAGCUGGUACUCCUGGUGAGAGUUGGAUCAGAGAUCUCCCUUGGUGGUGUUUGUGGCUACCCGCCAGUGCAGUGGGGCUGAGUCGAUCCAGGAGGCAGCCGCCCUCAUGCAGUGUUGGAGUGCGGUCCAACUGUCCGAGUCUAUUUUAACUUUCUCUUUUAUGGAAUUUGUGUCGUUUUUUUUUUUUUUUUAAUAAAUUGUAUAUUCUUAACCUUUAUGAAAUCCAGUCUCCAUUUGGGGUGCACAUGUAAGAGGGCGUUCGGUCACAAGUGUCUUACCCAACGACACAUGGCCAGACAAAGCAGGAAUCGAACCUGUGAACUUCCAGAGGUAGACCACCUUAAGUCUGCACCACGGCUGCCAGUAAACAAACGAACAUAAAGGGCAAAGCUCUAACUCACAUUCACAGUGAAAAGGGAUUUUAUUAGCCGCAGAAAUCCAUUCAUUAUGUCUAUUCAUAGCUGACAGCUCAGGAAGGAUAUGAGAAGGGUGUCAGAGUUAAGCGUCCCGGUCACAUGUUCUCUUUUUAAUUAGGCUUCACACAUGUAUUUACCUCUGGAGUA
Molecule: long non-coding RNA, 1240 nt
Organism: Oryzias latipes (Japanese medaka)
Lineage: Eukaryota; Metazoa; Chordata; Actinopteri; Beloniformes; Adrianichthyidae
Source: RefSeq, a predicted model, not a curated record